RNAcentral lists this ribosomal RNA (253 nucleotides) under uncultured bacterium. RNAcentral describes it as "partial 16S ribosomal RNA". It matches the Rfam family "Bacterial small subunit ribosomal RNA", at positions 524 to 776 of the family's 1533-position model. The record is from RNAcentral.
UACGUAGGGGGCAAGCGUUGUCCGGAAUUACUGGGCGUAAAGCGCGCGCAGGCGGUUUUGCAAGCCGGAUGUGAAAUCCCCGGGCUUAACCUGGGAAUGGCAUUUGGGACUGCAAGGCUGGAGUGCGGCAGAGGAGACUGGAAUUCCUGGUGUAGCAGUGAAAUGCGUAGAUAUCAGGAGGAACACCGAUGGCGAAGGCAGGUCUCUGGGCUGACACUGACGCUCAUGCACGAAAGCGUGGGGAGCAAACAGG